GUGCACCAGGCGCGAAACCUCCGCAAUGCGGGCAACCGCGACGGGGGACCCCAGUGCCGUGGCAUCGCCACGGCUUUUCCGGAGUGUAAAAAGCUCCGGGAAUAAGGGCUGGGCAAGACGGGUGCCAUCUGCAGUGGUAAUGAAAACUUGCUACUGCAAGGCAUAAGCCGCCGCGGUAAUACCCGCAGCCCGAGUGGUAGUCGCUUUUAUUGGGCCUAAAGCGUCCGUAGCCGGUCUGGUAAAUGCCUGGGUAAAUCGUGGGGCCUAACCUCACGAAUUCCGGGUAGACUGCCAGACUUGGGACCGGUUGAGGGAGAGGGUACUCCAGGGGUAGGGGUGAAAUCCUGUAAUCCUUGGAGGACCACCGGUGGCGAAAGCGCUCUCCUAGGACGGGUCCGACGGUGAGGGGACGAAAGCCAGGGGGAGCAAACCGGGAUUAGAUACCCCUGUAGU
This 453-nucleotide ribosomal RNA is filed under the name uncultured microorganism. Its description in RNAcentral is "bacterial SSU rRNA". It matches the Rfam family "Archaeal small subunit ribosomal RNA", at positions 330 to 745 of the family's 1478-position model. The record is from RNAcentral.